UAACGAUGAAGAGUUUGAUCCUGGCUCAGGAUGAACGCUAGCGGCAGGCCUAACACAUGCAAGUCGAGGGGUAGAAAUAGCUUGCUAUUUUGAGACCGGCGCACGGGUGCGUAACGCGUAUGCAAUCUACCUUA
Molecule: ribosomal RNA, 134 nt
Filed under: Pustulibacterium marinum
Lineage: Bacteria; Pseudomonadati; Bacteroidota; Flavobacteriia; Flavobacteriales; Flavobacteriaceae
Description: 16S rRNA. Bacterial SSU
Rfam family: Bacterial small subunit ribosomal RNA
Source: RNAcentral